RNAcentral lists this non-coding RNA (154 nucleotides) under Ascidiaceihabitans donghaensis. Its description in RNAcentral is "FMN riboswitch aptamer (RFN element)". It matches the Rfam family "FMN riboswitch aptamer (RFN element)". From Rfam's summary of the family: The RFN element is a highly conserved domain that is found frequently in the 5'-untranslated regions of prokaryotic mRNAs that encode for flavin mononucleotide (FMN) biosynthesis and transport proteins. This element is a metabolite-dependent riboswitch that directly binds FMN in the absence of proteins. In Bacillus subtilis, the riboswitch most likely controls gene expression by causing premature transcription termination within the 5' untranslated region of the ribDEAHT operon and precluding access to the ribosome-binding site of ypaA mRNA. The record is from Rfam by way of RNAcentral. Lineage: Bacteria; Pseudomonadati; Pseudomonadota; Alphaproteobacteria; Rhodobacterales; Paracoccaceae.
UCCUAUUCUCAGGGCGGGGUGAAAUUCCCCACCGGCGGUAUGUGGGUUUGCCCCAUGAGCCCGCGAGCGCCUCGGUUGUAUAGCUUUCGAGGGUCAAGCAGAUCAGGUGAGAUGCCUGAGCCGACGGUCAUAGUCCGGAUGAAAGAGAAUGUGC